ACGUCAGAACUGUUUCGGUCUUCCAUCAGGGUUUCCCCUGACUUCAACCUGAUCAAGUAUAGUUCACCAUCUUUCGGGUCACAGCAUAUAUGCUCAAGGUACGUUCCAGUUAGAGGCAUAAAUAAUAUAAAUAUUAUCAUACAUAACUAUAUAGAACGCCCCGGGAUUGUGUUAAUUAACUAUAAAUAGUUAAAAAACUAAUCCCAUUAAUAGUCAAGUUAAUUACGCUAUUAGGUUU
Molecule: ribosomal RNA, 238 nt
Filed under: Drosophila falleni
Lineage: Eukaryota; Metazoa; Arthropoda; Insecta; Diptera; Drosophilidae
Description: partial 28S ribosomal RNA
Source: RNAcentral